UACGGAGGGUGCGAGCGUUGUCCGGAAUUAUUGGGCGUAAAGAGCUCGUAGGCGGUUUGUCGCGUCUGCUGUGAAAACCUAAGGCUCAACCUUGGGCUUGCAGUGGGUACGGGCAGACUAGAGUGCGGUAGGGGUGACUGGAAUUCCUGGUGUAGCGGUGGAAUGCGCAGAUAUCAGGAGGAACACCGAUGGCGAAGGCAGGUCACUGGGCCGCAACUGACGCUGAGGAGCGAAAGCAUGGGGAGCGAACAGG
Molecule: ribosomal RNA, 253 nt
Filed under: uncultured bacterium
Lineage: Bacteria
Description: partial 16S ribosomal RNA
Rfam family: Bacterial small subunit ribosomal RNA
Source: RNAcentral